RNAcentral lists this small RNA (101 nucleotides) under Pedobacter soli. RNAcentral describes it as "Flavo-1 RNA". It matches the Rfam family "Flavo-1 RNA". Lineage: Bacteria; Pseudomonadati; Bacteroidota; Sphingobacteriia; Sphingobacteriales; Sphingobacteriaceae. The record is from RNAcentral.
UAAUAGCCCUGAUGGCAGUGGAAAUCCCUUUUGGCUGGAGCAGACACUCUAAAGCUUGUGUAAGGCCUCCAAAAGGAUUGCAACGUACAGCAGGACGGAAC